AUGUCAAAUGUCCAUGCCGAUACAAACACAGUUUUAUUGGCAAGAGGGGUUCUCUGAAAUUAGGAUUUUGUCUUCUUCGUCGAUUUGUCAGCUAGCCAACAAUGGUGAUACAACAUAUCCAGUUAGACGAAUCGUCUUCACUCCUCGAUAUCUCAGUCUUCUCAAAAUUGAUUUGCCACUGCCGUAGUACUCCAACUGAAUCCAAGCACCGAACGGAACAAUAAGAAUUUCUAAGAUAGUUCACCAACAAAUUCACGUAAAGGUUUUACUCCAACAGAAACUGAUGUACGAGUAUGUCUACAAACACGAAAGCUAUUGCGAUCAACAAGAGCUUGCAAAUAUUUCCAGGAGCUUCGAUUCAAUCUUUUAAAAUACGCUGUCGAGGAAGGUCUAUUGCAUUUCCAGAAGGUUGCGUUUCCACAAGCAAUCUUAAUGACCAUCAACAUCGUCCAUGACUAGCAGAGGAGUAUAGUUCCAAUUCUAACGCAAAAAAAUUCCACCUCAAGAAGAAUAGUGUACACGCAGAUUCAGGAUGCCGUUACUGUAGCCAGUGUAGCUUCAUCUGUUGCUGCUAUCGCAGCCUCCACCACCACGUCUUCGAUCUCUGGAAGGGAUGAGCAGAUGGCUAAAACUGACAUGGCCGUUGCUUCCGCUGCGACCCUUGCGGAUACUCAGUGUAUGGCUGCUGAAGUGAUUAGAGCUGAGAGAGUAUUUGGCCUCUGUUGUCAGUGCCACCAUCAAUGUUCGUUCUACCGUAGAUGUUUGACACUCACUGCUGGUGUAGCCACAAGUUUAGUAGCUUCAAAAAUCUGUAUUUUUGUCAUCCUAGGUUUUUUGAAAGAUUGAUUUUGAUGAAAAAACUCAAUUCUUUUUAUUUUAUUUGAGAAAUGCUUAGUAUUGGGAAUUUAAUCACAUUGCUAAAGUUCUUAUUUUGAUGAAGAAUAUGUAAGAACAGUUUAUUAGCUCAGAAUUGGAGCUUAAUGAAGAGACUUGAG
Brassica oleracea var. oleracea is the source of this 995-nucleotide long non-coding RNA. RefSeq lists it as uncharacterized. Lineage: Eukaryota; Viridiplantae; Streptophyta; Magnoliopsida; Brassicales; Brassicaceae. The record is from RefSeq and is a predicted model, not a curated record. The transcript has 6 exons.